CCUACGGGAGGCAGCAGUGGGGAAUAUUGGACAAUGGGGGGAACCCUGAUCCAGCGACGCCGCGUGAGUGAAGAAGUAUUUCGGUAUGUAAAGCUCUAUCAGCAGGGAAGAAAGAAAUGACGGUACCUGACUAAGAAGCCCCGGCUAACUACGUGCCAGCAGCCGCGGUAAUACGUAGGGGGCAAGCGUUAUCCGGAUUUACUGGGUGUAAGGGGAGCGUAGGUGGUUUCUUAAGUCAGAGGGGAAAGGCUACGGCUCAACCGUAGUAAGCCUUUGAAACUGGGGAACUGGAGUGCAGGAGAGGAGAGUGGAAUUCCUAGUGUAGCGGUGAAAUGCGUAGAUAUUAGGAGGAACACCAGUUGCGAAGGCGGCUCUCUGGACUGUAACUGACACUGAGGCACGAAAGCGUGGGGAGCAAACAGGAUUAGAUACCCCAGUAGUC
Molecule: ribosomal RNA, 442 nt
Filed under: uncultured bacterium
Lineage: Bacteria
Description: partial 16S ribosomal RNA
Rfam family: Bacterial small subunit ribosomal RNA
Source: RNAcentral